AGGGCUAAGGAUUGAACCCAGUGCCUCACACAUGUUAGGCUUCAGUGAAUUACUGAAAACCCUGUUGUUCAUAUUGGCCUUUCCAAAAGGGCAUCUAUCGGUGUGUAUUCAAUUUAGAAGCCAUGGAUCACAACAGCUACAAUUUCACAAUGAACUUCUGGUUAAUUAAAGGUUAAUUAAAAAAAAGACGUACUUUAUUAAAAAAAUCUAGUGCAUUCUAGAAUUUAAGAGACUAACCUUUGCAAAAGGAUAGGUGUAAGUAUUAGUUUGGAUUUGUGACCUCUUUAUUCCAGAGCUGCUCAGAGUAUAAUUGAUGGUCAACCAUUUGUUGAACAUCUGCUCUUUGUAUAGUUUGGAUGGGGCAGGUGACACAGAAAUACAUUUUUCACAGAGAUAAGCUACUAAAUUGGGACUUGCUAUUGUAGCAGCUAACAUCAAUGAUCCUGACAUAGUAGAUGAUAUUCCUAAUGUUAGAGUUAUCCAAAGAGCUGGGCAGUUACCUAGAACAGAGAAUCACAAUUCUGAUUUUUAAAUCAAAAUCAGCUUUAAAAAAGUUCUCAUUUCUGGGACUCAUAUAAUUUUACUAAAUAAAUAUUUGGGGGUAGGACAUGUGAAUCAGUAUUUUUAUCAAGUUUCCCCACAUGAUUCUAGAUCAUUCCCCUUGACUCUAAACUCAUGCAGCUGAACAUCAAAGUCUAUUUUCUGGGAUGGUGAAAUGAAGGUGAAAAGUGAUAGAAGAGUAACAGAGGUUUUAGAGGUAAAAGAGAGAUUGGCAAAUGAUGACCCCCUAGGGCUAAGUUUGACCUCCUUAUCUGUUUUAGUAAAAAGUUUUAUUGGAAUACAGCCAGGCUCAUUUGUUAUUCUCCUACCUGCCUAUGGCUGUUAUUACUACAAAGGCAGAGUCAAGUAGUUGCAACAGUGACCUUAUUCCCUACAAACCUUAAUAUAACUACUAUCUGUCUUUUACAGAAAGUCUUUAGACUACUGAUCUACAUAUAGUCUCUCUGCUUAAAAAAGGCAUGAACUCUUGGUUUGACCUUGCUCAUAAAUGGCAGACUCAAAUUCAUAAUGCUCUUAAUAAGUCCAUAAGACCAGCUAUGGAAAGUGAUUUAACUUUUGGGUCAGCUGUAUAUUAUGGUAUCUCCAUACUCCAUGAAACAGUUUCCCAUUAGUGUCUUGUGAUUUUGAAACCACCAGAAGCUCAACCACAAUAAGAUGAUUGUCUCUAUAGAAUUCAGAAAGAGUCGGACGAUGUUUAUGAGAACAUAAAUUACAGUUUCCAAAUAUAUCUGUAUUCUUGCAGUUCUUUUACUACAAAGGAAAACUA
Molecule: long non-coding RNA, 1327 nt
Organism: Ictidomys tridecemlineatus (thirteen-lined ground squirrel)
Lineage: Eukaryota; Metazoa; Chordata; Mammalia; Rodentia; Sciuridae
Source: RefSeq, a predicted model, not a curated record